AUAAAUUUCACAAGAUGUCUCUUAAAACUCUGGGACUUUAAGUUAUAUCUUCAACAACUUUAUAGAAGAUCGGGCUUUUAGCGAGGUCGUUAGAGAAGCCAAGAAUGCUGGUUAUACCGAGCCAGAUCCAAGAGACGAUCUGUUUGGAAUGGAUGUGGCUAGAAAGGUCAUAAUUCUAGCUAGAGAAUCUGGUUUAAGACUGGAGCUUUCUGAUAUCCAAGUGGACAGCCUUGUGUCAGAACCAUUGAAAUUAAGA
Papaver somniferum (opium poppy) is the source of this 256-nucleotide long non-coding RNA. RefSeq lists it as uncharacterized. The transcript is spliced from 3 exons. NCBI's taxonomy places the organism in Eukaryota, Viridiplantae, Streptophyta, Magnoliopsida, Ranunculales, Papaveraceae. The record is from RefSeq and is a predicted model, not a curated record.